Molecule: ribosomal RNA, 501 nt
Filed under: uncultured bacterium
Lineage: Bacteria
Description: partial 16S ribosomal RNA
Rfam family: Bacterial small subunit ribosomal RNA
Source: RNAcentral
AUUGAACGCUGGCGGCAGGCUUAACACAUGCAAGUCGAGCGGAGAUGAGGUGCUUGCACCUUAUCUUAGCGGCGGACGGGUGAGUAAUGCUUAGGGAUCUGCCUAUUAGUGGGGGACAACAUUCCGAAAGGAAUGCUAAUACCGCAUACGUCCUACGGGAGAAAGCAGGGGAUCUUCGGACCUUGCGCUAAUAGAUGAGCCUAAGUCGGAUUAGCUAGUUGGUGGGGUAAAGGCCUACCAAGGCGACGAUCCGUAGCGGGUCUGAGAGGAUGAUCCGCCACACUGGGACUGAGGCACGGCCCAGACUCCUACGGGAGGCAGCAGUGGGGAAUAUUGGACAAUGGGGGAAACCCUGAUCCAGCCAUGCCGCGUGUGUGAAGAAGGCCUUAUGGUUGUAAAGCACUUUAAGCGAGGAGGAGGCUACUGAGACUAAUACUCUUGGAUAGUGGACGUUACUCGCAGAAUAAGCACCGGCUAACUCUGUGCCAGCCGCCGCCGUAA